Molecule: ribosomal RNA, 497 nt
Filed under: uncultured bacterium
Lineage: Bacteria
Description: partial 16S ribosomal RNA
Rfam family: Bacterial small subunit ribosomal RNA
Source: RNAcentral
GAUGAACGCUGGCGGCGUGCCUAAUACAUGCAAGUCGAGCGAACAGACGAGGAGCUUGCUCCUCUGACGUUAGCGGCGGACGGGUGAGUAACACGUGGAUAACCUACCUAUAAGACUGGGAUAACUUCGGGAAACCGGAGCUAAUACCGGAUAAUAUAUUGAACCGCAUGGUUCAAUAGUGAAAGACGGUUUUGCUGUCACUUAUAGAUGGAUCCGCGCCGCAUUAGCUAGUUGGUAAGGUAACGGCUUACCAAGGCGACGAUGCGUAGCCGACCUGAGAGGGUGAUCGGCCACACUGGAACUGAGACACGGUCCAGACUCCUACGGGAGGCAGCAGUAGGGAAUCUUCCGCAAUGGGCGAAAGCCUGAAGGAGCAAAGCCGAGUGAGUGAUGAAGGUAUUCGGAUCGUAAAACUCUGUUAUUAGGGAAGAACAAAUGUGUAAGUAACUAUGCACGUCUUGACGGUACCUAAUCAGAAAGCCACGGCUAACUACGUG